CCUACGGGGUGCUGCAGUGGGGAAUAUUGGGCAAUGGGCGCAAGCCUGACCCAGCAACGCCGCGUGAAGGAAGAAGGCUUUCGGGUUGUAAACUUCUUUUCUCAGGGACGAAGCAAGUGACGGUACCUGACGAAUAAGCCACGGCUAACUACGUGCCAGCAGCCGCGGUAAUACGUAGGUGGCAAGCGUUAUCCGGAUUUACUGGGUGUAAAGGGCGUGUAGGCGGGAGAGCAAGUCAGAUGUGAAAUCCAAGGGCUCAACCUUGGACCUGCAUUUGAAACUGUUUUUCUUGAGUACUGGAGAGGCAGACGGAAUUCCGAGUGUAGCGGUGAAAUGCGUAGAUAUUAGGAGGAACACCAGUGGCGAAGGCGGUCUGCUGGACAGCAACUGACGCUGAGGCGCGAAAGCGUGGGGAGCAAACAGGAUUAGAUACCCGUGUAGUC
This 443-nucleotide ribosomal RNA is filed under the name uncultured bacterium. Its description in RNAcentral is "partial 16S ribosomal RNA". It matches the Rfam family "Bacterial small subunit ribosomal RNA", at positions 338 to 795 of the family's 1533-position model. The record is from RNAcentral.